This 447-nucleotide ribosomal RNA is filed under the name uncultured bacterium. RNAcentral's name for it is "bacterial SSU rRNA". It matches the Rfam family "Bacterial small subunit ribosomal RNA", at positions 355 to 825 of the family's 1533-position model. The record is from RNAcentral.
UGGGGAAUAUUGGACAAUGGGGGCAACCCUGAUCCAGCAAUGCCGCGUGAAUGAUGAAGGCCUUAGGGUUGUAAAGUUCUUUUAUUGAUGAAGAUAAUGACGUUAAUCAAUGAAUAAGCACCGGCUAACUUCGUGCCAGCAGCCGCGGUAAUACGAAGGGUGCUAGCGUUGUUCGGAAUGACUGGGCGUAAAGGGUGCGUAGGCGGCCGAAUGCGUCUGAUGUGAAAUCCCUGGGCUUAACCUAGGAACUGCAUUGGAUACUGCGGAUCUCGAGUCCGAUAGAGGUGAGUGGAAUUCCUAGUGUAGAGGUGAAAUUCGUAGAUAUUAGGAAGAACACCGGUGGCGAAGGCGGCUCACUGGAUCGGUACUGACGCUGAGGUGCGAAAGCGUGGGGAGCAAACAGGAUUAGAUACCCUAGUAGUCCCUGAGCGGGCUGGCAAGGCGCAU